Molecule: long non-coding RNA, 1489 nt
Organism: Passer domesticus (house sparrow)
Lineage: Eukaryota; Metazoa; Chordata; Aves; Passeriformes; Passeridae
Exons: 3
Source: RefSeq, a predicted model, not a curated record
CAGGAGCCCCUGCGAGAGGCGGCCAUCAGGUUCAUGGGGAUGGCCGGGCGGCACCUCAGGGGGAAGAUGGAAGAGCUCCAGGUCAUCUGUGAUGCCCUUGAAGAAAUGGCAUUUGACAGCAAUCCCGCCAUCAGAAACCUUUCAAUAGAAACUGGGUUCGUUCUCCGGGCCAUACAGAGAGCUCCCUCCUCCACAUGGCGUAAAGUGAAAGAUCAAUUCCUCAGUGCAUGGAAGAAACGGCCUCGUCUCUGCCGCAGAGCCUUGCUGUGCUGCUGGAGCUCUGUGGAGGGCUGAUUUGGAAGGCUCUGUCUGGUGGGGCCAUUUGAGAAGGAUUUUCUUUUUCUUCAAGAUUUUUGUUUUCUUUUUCUUUUUUUUUUUUUUUUUUUUUGUUCAAUGUGGCAUUCACCAUCUCUGAACAGAGAGGGGCAUAAUUUUCUCUCACAGGAUUUUUUUUGGAGAAGCAGAGAAGAAGAGAAAAGAAUUUUUGUCUCUACUUGCUGCUCCAGUUGUUUUUGGACAUACGGAAUAGUUUAGGAAGAUUUUUUACCUGAAGUGAUUUUUCAGUCGGAUCCUGAUGAGGUUUUUUUUUUCCUUGGCAGUUGGGAAAAAGCUGUGUCCUGACUGUCUGGAGACAGUCACGGGUUUUUCUUUAGUCUCUUUUAGUAUCUCUUUAAUAUAGUCUAGUAUAAUGUAAUGUAGUUUAGUUUUAAUAAAGCAAUUGUUCAGUCUUCUGAAACAAUAGAGUCAAAUACCAAUCAUUUGCCACGUUGGGGGCUCCCUGCAUUCGAUAAGUGGUGACUUCUGACAUUGGCUGAAGAACCAGGAGCUGGAUGGAUCCAAUUGGGUUUGCAGGUGAGGCUGAACACGAAAAGGUUUGCUGAACACUGACGGAGAGUGUCCGGUGGUCCUUUGGUGAGUCACGAGAUGGGAGAUGCCACUUAGACCUUCUCUUGGACCCUGCGGGACCCUGCGCAGCCCAUUGUGGCCGGUCACUUUGGCUUCCUGGAGAAGGUACUGUUAACCCUUCACCUCCCAACAAUAGCAUUGCCCUCCGCAAGAAAUGGAGUGACGGUUGGGAAGAGGUGCCUUCAGAAAUGGAAGUUCAAUUUUCUCCAUUAGAGGAGGACACUAUUGGAGUGUGGAGGUUUCUGCCUCUGCACUACAGAAUUCCUGUGUUGGAGGAAGAUGUCUAUGAGUUUUUCAGAUGGGCAAAAGCUCACAGGUUUUCGUGGAUUUGCAGUUGUCCCUGGAUUCCAGGGCUUGGCAACCCCUGGAUCUCGACUUUUGGAGGAACACAUGAUGGCUGAGGAAAUUUCUCGGGAGUUCCCACUCAGGCAUCACUUUCCUCCAUUGUGAGGAAGAGAACCUCGUUGGAGAAGCGCCUUACCCCAGGCUGGUGGCCAUCAGGCCCCUCGCCACAGCUGGACCAAAUUGUCCAGGGACAGUCUCCACUGGUUUUCCCCACCUGCAUGGGGCAGGGGGGAGCAGC